AGAGUUUGAUCAUGGCUCAGGACGAACGCUGGCGGCGUGCUUAACACAUGCAAGUCGAACGGUAACGCGAAGAGCUUGCUCUUUGGCGACGAGUGGCGGACGGGUGAGUAAUACUUAGGAAUCUACCCAGUAGCGGGGGACAACUCGGGGAAACUCGAGCUAAUACCGCAUACGCCCUACGGGGGAAAGCGGGGGAUCUUCGGACCUCGCACUAUUGGAUGAGCCUAAGUCGGAUUAGCUAGUUGGUAGGGUAAAAGCCUACCAAGGCGACGAUCCGUAGCUGGUCUGAGAGGACGAUCAGCCACACUGGGACUGAGACACGGCCCAGACUCCUACGGGAGGCAGCAGUGGGGAAUAUUGGACAAUGGGGGCAACCCUGAUCCAGCAAUGCCGCGUGUGUGAAGAAGGCCUGCGGGUUGUAAAGCACUUUCAGUAGAGAAGAAAAGCCUAAGGUUAAUAACCUUGAGUCUUGACGUAACCUACAGAAGAGCCCC
RNAcentral lists this ribosomal RNA (494 nucleotides) under uncultured Thiorhodospira sp. Its description in RNAcentral is "bacterial SSU rRNA". It matches the Rfam family "Bacterial small subunit ribosomal RNA", at positions 8 to 493 of the family's 1533-position model. The record is from RNAcentral. Lineage: Bacteria; Pseudomonadati; Pseudomonadota; Gammaproteobacteria; Chromatiales; Ectothiorhodospiraceae.